Molecule: long non-coding RNA, 215 nt
Filed under: Mytilus galloprovincialis (Mediterranean mussel)
Lineage: Eukaryota; Metazoa; Mollusca; Bivalvia; Mytilida; Mytilidae
Source: RNAcentral
AAUUACUGUGGAUUCAUUAUUAUUCGUUGGAUACCAAUUUUCGUGGAUUUCGUGGGUACAAGUGUACCACGAAAUUAAAUGUUCAACGAAUGACAGAUUUUAUAUAGGCUUGUAUGCAGACAUCCGCAAAACCACGAAAUUAAAUAUCCACGAACAUGCAGGUUUUCCUUAAUCCACAAAAAUUGGUACCCACGAAAAUAAAUGAAUCCACAGUA